GACGAACGCUGGCGGCGUGCUUAACACAUGCAAGUCGAACGGAAAGGCCCUGCUUUUGUGGGGUGCUCGAGUGGCGAACGGGUGAGUAACACGUGAGUAACCUGCCCUUGACUUUGGGAUAACUUCAGGAAACUGGGGCUAAUACCGGAUAGGAGCUCCUGCUGCAUGGUGGGGGUUGGAAAGUUUCGGCGGUUGGGGAUGGACUGGCGGGUUAUCAGCUUGUUUGUUGGGUAGUGGCUUACCAAGGCUUUGACGGGUAGCCGGCCUGAGAGGGUGACCGGCCAAAUUGGGACUGAGAUACGGCCCAGACUCCUACGGGAGGCAGCAGUGGGGAAUAUUGCACAAUGGGCGGAAGCCUGAUGCAGCAACGCCGCGUGCGGGAUGACGGCCUUCGGGUUGUAAACCGCUUUCGCCUGUGACGAAGCGUGAGUGACGGUAAUGGGUAAAGAAGCACCGGCUAACUACGUG
Molecule: ribosomal RNA, 468 nt
Filed under: uncultured bacterium
Lineage: Bacteria
Description: partial 16S ribosomal RNA
Rfam family: Bacterial small subunit ribosomal RNA
Source: RNAcentral